Molecule: non-coding RNA, 45 nt
Organism: Canis lupus familiaris (dog)
Lineage: Eukaryota; Metazoa; Chordata; Mammalia; Carnivora; Canidae
Source: Rfam
ACAAAGGCUCUUUUCAGAGCCACCUGUGCUCACAAAGGAGCGUGC